CAUGUAGGCGGUCUGUCAAGCCAGGCGUGAAAGCCAGGGGCUCAACCCCUGAACUGCGCUCGGAACUGGCGGACUGGAGUCGCUGAGGGGGAACCGGAAUUCCUGGUGUAGGGGUGAAAUCUGUAGAUAUCAGGAAGAACACCGAUGGCGAAGGCAGGUUUCCAGCAGACGACUGACGCUGAGGUGCGAAGGUGCGGGGAGCAAACA
This 207-nucleotide ribosomal RNA is filed under the name uncultured bacterium. RNAcentral's name for it is "partial 16S ribosomal RNA". It matches the Rfam family "Bacterial small subunit ribosomal RNA", at positions 568 to 774 of the family's 1533-position model. The record is from RNAcentral.